Molecule: ribosomal RNA, 478 nt
Filed under: uncultured bacterium
Lineage: Bacteria
Description: partial 16S ribosomal RNA
Rfam family: Bacterial small subunit ribosomal RNA
Source: RNAcentral
GACGAACGCUGGCGGCGUGCUUAACACAUGCAAGUCGAACGGUAAGACCCUUCGGGGUACACGAGUGGCGAACGGGUGAGUAACACGUGGGUGAUCUGCCCUGCACUUCGGGAUAAGCCUGGGAAACUGGGUCUAAUACCGGAUAGGACCACUGCCUGCAUGGGUGGUGGUGGAAAGCUUUUGCGGUGUGGGAUGGGCCCGCGGCCUAUCAGCUGGUUGGUGGGGUGAUGGGCUACCAAGGCGACGACGGGUAGCCGGCCUGGGAGGGUGACCGUCCACACUGGGACUGAGAUACUGCCCAGACUCCUACGGGAGGCAGCAGUGGGGAAUAUUGCACAAUGGGCGCAAGCCUGAUGCAGCGACGCCGCGUGAGGGAUGACGGCCUUCGGGUUGUAAACCUCUUUCGGCACCGACGAAGCGCAAGUGACGGUAGGUGCAGAAGAAGGACCGGCCAACUACGUGCCAGCAGCCGCAGUAA